UAUUUGUUCCACGUUACACCACAAACCUUUUUAUUUGAAAGAAUUUUAAAAUUAAAUUAAUAUGGCAAGCCUUGCUCCAGCAGUUCUGUUCGAUGGUGAUUUUUUGGAAAGCUCAGAUUUUGAUACGGUCUAAAAGGACAACUCAAUAGAGCCAUGUCAAUAUCAGGAGAAUUAAAAUAUAGUAGUUCUGUUGUUUACAUUUAUUUAAUAAAUGUGAAGUGUAUGAAAGAGGUUUUAAAUGGCCACCCAUUUUCAUGAUUUCUGACUUGGGGUUGUAUGUUUCUCUUACUGGAUAUUGAAACUGAUUCAGAAUCAGUCAUUUAGUUGAUUUAUGUUGAUAAGGUUCGCAUUGAGAUCCUUAAAAUAUGACAUUGAAGCUUCUCAAUUAAGUCAAUUAUAAGCCAAAAUCAUUGUCAUUAUUUCAUGUAAAUAUAGCUAUUAUAGUCUUGCAAACAUGGAAGAAGCUUCCAAAUUAUGGUGAUUGAUAUAUAUGUUAAUUUUUUGCUAUUAAUUCGUUUUUAGGUAAAUCAUUGUCAUUAUUUCAUGUAAAUAUAGCCAUUAUAGUCUUGCAAACAUGGAAGAAGUUUCUAAAUUAUGGUGAUUGAUAUAUAUGUUAAAUUUUUGUAUUAAUUCCUUUAGUUUUUUUAUAUUUUAACUUGAGUAUUCAGUUGAUCACUUUAUUUUAAGAAAACCUCACUCCUACAAUUAAAUAGGUUAUUCAAUUUAAUAUGUCUUACAUUUUUUUUGUGUAUUAAACCAUUUGGUAUUCGAAGACCACAUUGGACCCCAGUUAAUUCACAUUCGAGUCGGAUAUGACCACUAGGGUAGAAAAACUCUUCCAACAAGAAUUUAACGCAGCUGCAUUCACAAGUCUCGAAUUGAGAUCCGUAGUUAAGAUAGAACAGUCUCAUACCAACUGAUCUACGCGCUUGUUGGUCUUGCAUUUUCAUUUUAUAGUCUCUUUGUAUCAAAUCUUAUAAUUAUAAUUGCUUUAUCAUGCUGUUAAAGUGAACUACGUUGGACCCAAGCAUUAUAGAUUACAAAGAUCUUAAUGAAAUCUAAAUCUUGAAUGAGAAAAACAUUUACUUAUAAAAAGAAAGAAAAAAACUUGACAAAGUUAUUAAAAGACAGAUAUCUCAAGUAAGAUCACGAACACAAACAAAGGUGAUAAAACUCUUUUUAAGUUUGGUGAUAAAAAAAAAAUGAUUACCUUCUUGUAAAGAAAUUAACAGCGUAAAUUUUUAAACACAUAUAAUCACUUUAA
RNAcentral lists this long non-coding RNA (1264 nucleotides) under Citrus x clementina. Its description in RNAcentral is "Citrus clementina (C. clementina) long non-coding RNA (CCLE_LNC001554)". Lineage: Eukaryota; Viridiplantae; Streptophyta; Magnoliopsida; Sapindales; Rutaceae. The record is from RNAcentral.